CAAAAGUGUUUAGAUAUUUUCCAUUGAUACCACGACUUCAAAGACUAUUUAUGUCGACUAAAACAUCUACCGAAAUGAGAUGGCAUGCAGAAGGUCGCACUAAAGAUGGGGUAAUGCGACAUCCUGCUGACAGUAUUGCUUGGAAGAAUUUCGAUGAAACACAUGUUGAUUUCGCUCAAGAUCCUCAAAAUUUUAGACUUGGACUGGCUUCAGAUGGCUUUAGUCCAUUCAAGUCUAUGUCUAUCUCACAUAGCACAUGGCCGGUCAUCUUGAUUCCUUAUAACUUGCCACCAUGGUUGUGCAUGAAACAACCAUAUAUGAUAUUAUCAAUGAUUAUUGAUGGCCCUCGUGCUCCAGGUAAUGACAUUGAUGUCUAUCUACGACCCUUUGUUGAUGAGUUAAAAGAAUUAUGGAUUGGUGUUUCCACUUAUGAUGCAUCAAAUAAUCACAUGUUUCAAAUGCGUGCAUCAUUACUUUGGACAAUCAGUGAUUUUCCUGCACUAGGUAACUUAUCAGGAUAUGGCGUGAAAACAAGAUAUGCUUGUCCUUGUUGUCUUACCAAGACUAAGUUUAGAAGAUUGAAAAAUGGACAGAAGUAUUGUUUUAUGUCUCAUAGACGAUGGUUACCUCAUGGUCACAAGUUUCGAAAAGAUAAAGUUACGUUCGAUGGCCUUGCAGAAUUGGAGGUAGCACCUAAACGAGUGUCAGGAAUUGAGAUUCUUAAGCAAAUGAAGAAUAUUAGAAAUAAAUUUGGAAAAGAUCCAUUGGCCAAAUCUCGUAAAAGGAAAUGGGGGGAUGCUGAUGAUGUUGGUAAUGUGUUGGAAAAUAUAUGGAACAAAAGGAGCAUAUUUUUUGAGUUGGAAUACUGGAAAGACAAUAUGAUGCGUCAUAAUCUUGACACAAUGCAUAUUGAGAAGAACGUUUUUGACAACAUAUUCUGGACAUUAUUGAAUGUUGAUGGCAAAGGAAAAGACAAUUUGAAGUCUCGUUUGGAUUUACAAGAGAUGAGGAUCCGAAAAGCUUUGCAUCCUAAGAAAAAAGCUAACGGGAAAUAUUAUCUACCACCUACAUGUUUCACAUUGAGUAACAAACAAAAAGACAUUCUCUUACAAGUUUUAAGAUAUGUGAAAGUUCCAGAUGGUUAUUCUUCAAAUAUAUCAAAUUGUGUUGAUCUUAAACAACACACUAUGCAUGGAUUGAAGAGUCAUGACUGUCAUGUUUUAAUGCAACAACUCCUUCCUAUAGCCUUGAGGAAUCUUGUGCCAGUUAAUGUUCUUAAGCCAUUAAUUGAGUUAAGCAAUUUUUUUAGGGGCAUUUCUUCAACAGUUAUGAAGAUAGGUGAAUUAGAAAAAGCUCCAAGAUCGAGUUGCAAUAACUCUUUGUCAUUUGGAGUGAAUAUUUCCUCCAUAUUUUUUUGACAUCAUGGAACAUCUAGUCAUCCAUUUAGCUGAAGAAACAAUGUUGGGUGGACCAUCCCAAUAUUGUUCAAUGUGGGCAAUUGAAAGGUUCUUGCUUAGUCUUAAAAACUUUGUAAGGAGUAGAAGUCAUCCAGAAGGUUGCAUUGCAGAGGGACAAUGGAUACAAGAGAUCAUGACAUUCUGCUCAAGAUACUUAGAUGAUGUGGAGACAAAGUCUAAUCGACCAUUAAGAAAUAAUACAUUGUCUAAUGAAACAAUGGAUUUGGAGGGUCGUCGAUCAAGUAAAGAGAAAGGAUUUAUUCUUGAUGACAUUACACAUGCUCAAGAACACAAACAUGUUUUAUUUAAUGCUGCCUCCACAACUCCAUAUCGUGAAGAACAUAUAAAAGAAAUCAAGAAGGGAAAUCCUCGUCUAUCAAGACAUGAUGUGGAUCGGAUUCACAAUGAAAAAUUUCAAAUAUGGUUUAGAAAUCAUGUUGAGAAGAUGCAUUUGGCUGGUGAACAAAUACCUCAAGAUAUUCAACAUUUAGCUGUUGGCCCAUCAAAGCAAGCAAAAAGGAUGACGGGAUAUAUAUGUAAUGGAGUUAGAUACUUAACAAAAUCUCGUGAUGCCAAGAGAAAAACUCAAAAUAGUGGUAUAAUGGUAAAAGCUACCACUCAAAGUUAUGCGAGUGCAAGAGAUAAAAAUCCCAUAUUGGCAGAUGUUUCUUUUUAUGGGAUCCUCACAGACAUAAUUGAGUUGUAUUACACCAAGAAGUUCAAGUUUGUAUUAUUUACCUGUAAAUGGGUGAACAACAAUAAAGGGCUUAUUGAGAAAGAUGAUUAUGGAUUUACUCUUGUGAAUUUUAAUCAUCUACUCUACACAAAACAACAUUUAUCAAAUGAACCUUUCAUCUUUGCUUCUCAAGCUCAACAAGUUUUUUAUGUCGAUCAUCCAAUGGAAAAUGAGUGGCAAAUUGUUGUUAAAUUUAAGCCAAGAGGUUUUUAUGAUUUAGGUGAAGAUACACCAUCAAUUGAGCAUAAGGAAGGCCAUAUGGAAUUGUGGCCUGAGCAACAAUUGGAUGACACUACAUUUGAAAGUGAAGACGAUAUUGAAUGGGUUAGACAUGGAGUACCAGGAAUAGAGAUCGACCCACAAACUUUGGAAUGUAAUGAAGCAUUUGAUGAAGAUGAUGAUACAUCUUAAUUUUUAUUACUAUUAUGUUAUUAUGAUUAUUUUAAUUUAGAUUGUUAUUGAACAAUAUAAAUUUUUGCGUUUUUUACUAUGUCAUUCAGUUGUUAAAAUCUCGUAUGGUUAUGUGUUUUGUUAUUCA
Solanum tuberosum (potato) is the source of this 2731-nucleotide non-coding RNA. The record is from RefSeq and is a predicted model, not a curated record. Lineage: Eukaryota; Viridiplantae; Streptophyta; Magnoliopsida; Solanales; Solanaceae.